UACGGAGGGGCCUAGCGUUGUUCGGAAUUACUGGGCGUAAAGCGCACGUAGGCGGAUUUGUAAGUCAGGGGUGAAAUCCCGAGGCUCAACCUCGGAACUGCCUUUGAUACUGCAAAUCUCGAGUCCGGAAGAGGUGAGUGGAAUUCCUAGUGUAGAGGUGAAAUUCGUAGAUAUUAGGAAGAACACCAGUGGCGAAGGCGGCUCACUGGUCCGGUACUGACGCUGAGGUGCGAAAGCGUGGGGAGCAAACAGG
RNAcentral lists this ribosomal RNA (253 nucleotides) under uncultured bacterium. Its description in RNAcentral is "partial 16S ribosomal RNA". It matches the Rfam family "Bacterial small subunit ribosomal RNA", at positions 524 to 776 of the family's 1533-position model. The record is from RNAcentral.